This 310-nucleotide unclassified non-coding RNA is filed under the name uncultured fungus. Its description in RNAcentral is "partial contains 5.8S ribosomal RNA and internal transcribed spacer 2". The stretch from base 1 to 133 matches the Rfam family "5.8S ribosomal RNA", at positions 22 to 154 of the family's 154-position model. The record is from RNAcentral. Lineage: Eukaryota; Fungi.
UGGUUCUGGCAUNGAUGAAGAACGCAGCGAAAUGCGAUAAGUAAUGUGAAUUGCAGAAUUCAGUGAAUCAUCGAAUCUUUGAACGCACAUUGCGCCCUUUGGUAUUCCGAAGGGCAUGCCCGUUCGAGCGUCAUUUCAACCAAACAAGCCUGGCUUGGCCUUGGGUCCCGGGGCGACCCGGACCUCAAAGACUCCCGGCUCGAACCGCCCCUUCCUGGCGUUGUGAACUUCGUUCGCCGGUGGAAGGAAGGUGAGACGCCGUCAAACGUUUCUAAAGGUUGACCUCGGAUCGGGUAGGGAUACCCGCUGA